UACGGGAGGCAGCAGUGGGGAAUAUUGCACAAUGGGCGCAAGCCUGAUGCAGCCAUGCCGCGUGUAUGAAGAAGGGCCUUCGGGUUGUAAAGUACUUUCAGCGGGGAGGAAGGCGGUGGAGUUAAUAGCUUCACCGAUUGACGUUACCCGCAGAAGAAGCACCGGCUAACUCCGUGCCAGCAGCCGCGGUAAUACGGAGGGUGCAAGCGUUAAUCGGAAUUACUGGGCGUAAAGCGCACGCAGGCGGUCUGUCAAGUCGGAUGUGAAAUCCCCGGGCUUAACCUGGGAACUGCAUUCGAAACUGGCAGGCUAGAGUCUUGUAGAGGGGGUUAGAAUUCCAGGUGUAGCGGUGAAAUGCGUAGAGAUCUGGAGGAAUACCGGUGGCGAAGGCGGCCCCUGGACAAGACUGACGCUCAGGUGCGAAAGCGUGGGGAGCAAACAGGAUUAGGAUACC
This 454-nucleotide ribosomal RNA is filed under the name uncultured bacterium. RNAcentral describes it as "bacterial SSU rRNA". It matches the Rfam family "Bacterial small subunit ribosomal RNA", at positions 340 to 786 of the family's 1533-position model. The record is from RNAcentral.